GAUGAACGCUGGCGGCGUGCCUAAUACAUGCAAGUCGAGCGAACAGACGCGGCGCUUGCUCCGCUGACGUUAGCGGCGGACGGGUGAGUAACAAGUGGCUAACCUACCUCUCUGACUGGGAUAACUUCGGGAAACCGGAGCUCAUACCGGAUAAUCUCUUGAACCGCAUGGUUCAAUAGUGAAAGACGGUUUUGCUGUCACUUAUAGAUGGAUCCGCGCCGCAUUAGCUAGUUGGUAAGGUAACGGCUUACCACGGCAACGAUGCGUAGCCGACCGGAGAGAGUGAUCGGCCACACGGGAACGGAGACACGGUCCAGACUCCUACGGGAGGCAGCAGUAGGGAAUCUUCCGCAGUGGGCGAGAGCCUUACGGAGCGAGGCCGCGUGAGUGAUGAAGGUCUUCGGAUCGUAAAGCUCUGUUAUUAGGGAAGAACAAAUGUGUAAGUAACUAUGCACAUCUUGACGGUACCUAAACAGAAAGCCACGGCUAACUACGUG
Molecule: ribosomal RNA, 497 nt
Filed under: uncultured bacterium
Lineage: Bacteria
Description: partial 16S ribosomal RNA
Rfam family: Bacterial small subunit ribosomal RNA
Source: RNAcentral